This 301-nucleotide ribosomal RNA is filed under the name uncultured bacterium. Its description in RNAcentral is "partial 16S ribosomal RNA". It matches the Rfam family "Bacterial small subunit ribosomal RNA", at positions 509 to 807 of the family's 1533-position model. The record is from RNAcentral.
CAGCCGCCGCGGUAAUACGGAGGGGGCUAGCGUUGUUCGGAAUUACUGGGCGUAAAGCGCACGUAGGCGGCUUGGUAAGUUAGAGGUGAAAGCCCGGAGCUCAACUCCGGAAUUGCCUUUAAGACUGCCGAGCUAGUAGGUGAGAGAGGUAAGUGGAAUUCUGAGUGUAGAGGUGAAAUUCGUAGAUAUUCGGAAGAACACCAGUGGCGAAGGCGGCUCACUGGACGACUGUUGACGCUGAGGUGCGAAAGCGUGGGGAGCAAACAGGAUUAGAUACCCCCGUAGUCCCUGUCUCUUAUAC